Molecule: ribosomal RNA, 253 nt
Filed under: uncultured bacterium
Lineage: Bacteria
Description: partial 16S ribosomal RNA
Rfam family: Bacterial small subunit ribosomal RNA
Source: RNAcentral
UACGUAGGGGGCUAGCGUUGUCCGGAAUCAUUGGGCGUAAAGAGCGUGUAGGCGGCCCCUUAAGUCCUGCGUGAAAUCCUGCGGCUCAACCGCAGACGGUCGUGCGAAACUGCCGGGCUUGAGGUCAGAAGGGGAAAGUGGAAUUCCGGGUGUAGUGGUGGAAUACGUAGAUAUCCGGAGGAACACCAGCGGCGAAGGCGGCUUUCUGGUCUGAUACUGACGCUGAGGCGCGAAAGCGUGGGGAGCGAUCCGG